RNAcentral lists this RNase P RNA (340 nucleotides) under human gut metagenome. RNAcentral's name for it is "Bacterial RNase P class A". It matches the Rfam family "Bacterial RNase P class A". Rfam says of the family: Ribonuclease P (RNase P) is a ubiquitous endoribonuclease, found in archaea, bacteria and eukarya as well as chloroplasts and mitochondria. The record is from RNAcentral.
AUUGGAUAAUCGCGGAUACAGUACCGAAAGGUCGUAUAUGAGGAAAGUCCGGGCUCCAUAGAGCAAAGAUGCUGGUUAACGGCCAGUGAGGGUAACCUUAAGGAAAGUGCAACAGAAAAUAACCGCCUAACUAUUUAGGUAAGGGUGAAAAGGGGAGGUAAGAGCUCACCGCUAAUAUGGUGACAUAUUAGGCAUAUGUAAACCCCAUCUGGAGCAACACCUAAAUAAAGAAGGUUAAGGCUGCUCGCCGUCUUCUCUUAGCGUGGCUUGAGGUAUAUAGUAAUAUAUAUCCUAGAUAAAUGAUUAUCUGAAAAACAGAACCCGGCUUAUAGGUAUACUU